Molecule: transfer RNA, 73 nt
Filed under: Anneissia japonica
Lineage: Eukaryota; Metazoa; Echinodermata; Crinoidea; Comatulida; Comatulidae
Description: tRNA-Ala
Rfam family: tRNA
About the family: Transfer RNA (tRNA) molecules are approximately 80 nucleotides in length.
Source: RNAcentral
GCCUUCGUGGUCUAGUGGUUAUGACGCUCGCCUUGCCAGCGAGAGGUCGCAGGUUCGAAUCCCGUCGGAGGCA